Long non-coding RNA from Sardina pilchardus (European sardine), 839 nucleotides. RefSeq lists it as uncharacterized. The transcript is spliced from 4 exons. Lineage: Eukaryota; Metazoa; Chordata; Actinopteri; Clupeiformes; Clupeidae. The record is from RefSeq and is a predicted model, not a curated record.
UGUUGGAGUUUUUCCUUGCCCCUAUUGCUCAUUGGUGCUCUUUGUUGUUAAGCGCUCUGAGACAUGCCUUUUGUAAAAUCCGCUAAACAAAUAAAAUUUAAUUGAAUUAAAAAAUGUUAACACUUAAAAGAACUUGUGUUCGUGGCUGGCUCAACCAAAAUGUAUGAUAAACGCCACACUCUAUCUUCUGCUUCACCUCAUCAGCAUCCAUCCAUCUAUCGUGCUGGUGGAAAUGCAUCACCUGACCGCUCAUUUACCCCGAAAGGCAUGGCUCAAGCCCGAGUCAGACCCGGGCCCAGUUCAUUUGCUGAAGGAUGGGGAUGUCAUGGCCCCUGGACACCGGUAUCCAUAAAGCAUCCCCUGCAGAUAGAUGGGAAGUCAUGUGGCGUUCAUGUUGUUAUGUAUGCCCAGGCCAUAUUGACAGGGGAUGCUCUUCAGCAGAGCCGUGUUUUGGAUUUUGGACCCAUUAUGCAAUUAAGACAACAGAUGUGCAAGGAUCUCUUUAAUGCAACAGACAGAACACAGACAUGCAGUAACUGCCUGAACCCAGUGAGCACUGCAAACAAGGUAAAGUAUACCAUGUGAUAAUUUGUUAAAAUGUUAUUCCUAAAUCCAUAUCUGUUUCAAAAGGCAUAUGAAACAUAUAUGGACUUAAAUGUAGAGUUUUCGGAAUGGAGUGUGGUCAAAAUAUUCCGUUUAUCAAAUCCACACCCUAGUGUGUAUCAGGUAUUACAGUGUUAAAGAACGGUAAACAAAAUGGUAUGGUGUUAGUAGGAAGGUGCUGAUAAAAAUUCUUAUGGGGCUCUUCUGCUUCACUUCCUUUUUUUUUCUUCUUUUGU